GUGGUUUCUAGAACUAACUGUUAUUACACCAGUACACACCGUGGUGGUUUCUAGAAACCCUGCUAGUUUACUGGUUAAAAACCAGCUUAGAAACCUUACAUACCAGGUAACCCCAACUAGUUUUAAUGUACACUUACCAGGUAACCCCAACUAGUUUUAAUAUUCACCUACCAGGUAACCCCAACUAGUUUUACUGUACACUUACCAGGUAACCAACUAGUUUUACUGUACACUUACCAGGUAACCAACUAGUUUUACUGUACACUUACCAGGUAACCAACUAGUUUUAAUGUACACUUACUAGGUAACCAACUAGUUUUAAUGUACACUUACCAGGUAGCCAACUAGUUUAAUGUACACUUACCAGGUGACGUCCAGCAGUGUAAAUGGUGCUCUCCUGACGUGCAUCUCCUCUUCCUGUCACCAGCUGUGUUCUCCCUCUCUCCCAAAGUCACAUGGAAACAUAGUUUGAAGUGUUUCCUGUAAUCUUAACCCUUCUCCUCCCUUUCUCCCUUGGUCAAUAUGAAAAUAAAACCCGAUUACAAAUGUA
This is a non-coding RNA of Salmo salar (Atlantic salmon), 550 nucleotides long. NCBI's taxonomy places the organism in Eukaryota, Metazoa, Chordata, Actinopteri, Salmoniformes, Salmonidae. The record is from RefSeq and is a predicted model, not a curated record.